GAUGAACGCUGGCGGCGUGCCUAAUACAUGCAAGUCGAGCGAACGGACGAGAAGCUUGCUUUUCUGAUGUUAGCGGCGGACGGGUGAGUAACACGUGGAUAACCUACCUAUAAGACUGGGAUAACUUCGGGAAACCGGAGCUAAUACCGGAUAAUAUUUUGAACCGCAUGGUUCAAAAGUGAAAGACGGUCUUGCUGUCACUUAUAGAUGGAUCCGCGCUGCAUUAGCUAGUUGGUAAGGUAACGGCUUACCAAGGCAACGAUGCAUAGCCGACCUGAGAGGGUGAUCGGCCACACUGGAACUGAGACACGGUCCAGACUCCUACGGGAGGCAGCAGUAGGGAAUCUUCCGCAAUGGGCGAAAGCCUGACGGGGCAACGCCGCGUGAGUGAUGAAGGUCUUCGGAUCGUAAAACUCUGUUAUUAGGGAAGAACAGAUGUGUAAGUAACUGUGCACAUCUUGACGGUACCUAAUCAGAAAGCCACGGCUAACUACGUG
Molecule: ribosomal RNA, 497 nt
Filed under: uncultured bacterium
Lineage: Bacteria
Description: partial 16S ribosomal RNA
Rfam family: Bacterial small subunit ribosomal RNA
Source: RNAcentral